AAGGAAUUUUUCAAUUUAUAGUUUAUGCACAGGAGUUGCAUGUCAGCUUGUCUCAGUUUCAACUUUUCCCUGUCUUGUGUUUCUUUCUCGGUUGUCACACUCUUUGUACUGUCUCAACUUUGUCGCUUUCUAUCUACAUGAAAUGACUUUUUGACUUCUGUAAUUUCAGGCCACAACUACUGGAACAUGAUUUCUUUCUCUUUGUAGGCCAAGACUUCUUGGUUAAAAUUAUUUAGGCUCCCAAGAUUUCUGAGGACUUGGAGGUGUUGUACAAAUCGAUCUUCGGUUAGGCACUGAUAACGGAUUGGAUAUCAAUUUUCUUGGGGCAUCUGGCUUCGUUGCUGUGUGCUAAAGUUUUGAUUUGCCAGACUGAAGAAUGGAGAGUCUUGUUUCCAGAGAGUCUUGAGUACUUGAGAUAUUCUUUGGGGCAUUCUUGAGUUGGGCAUCGUAAGGUGCUUGUCGGGCAAUUCUUUGGUUAUCUUAACUGAAAAUAGUUUUGUUGGCAAAUAAUUUCGUAUUGGGAUUUGUUCAAUUCAUUUCUGUGAUUUGUUGACGCUAUAUCAUUGGGAGUUCGCACACUAAUUGAAGCACAUACUGGAUAAUAUAAUUUUUUAGUAGCCUUUGCAGUCUUUAAGAGCAAACUU
Asparagus officinalis (garden asparagus) is the source of this 644-nucleotide long non-coding RNA. RefSeq lists it as uncharacterized. The transcript has 3 exons. The record is from RefSeq and is a predicted model, not a curated record. NCBI's taxonomy places the organism in Eukaryota, Viridiplantae, Streptophyta, Magnoliopsida, Asparagales, Asparagaceae.